UAAAGAUUUUAAUACAAUAAAAAAGGGUAAUUAAUAAAAAUACUCUGAAAUUAUAUGCUGUCUUUUUUCAUUUAUAUACGCAACGAUUGUAUACGUUUUUAACUUAAUUAAAGCAAUUAUAAAGCAAACAAUACAUCAAUAUUAAAAACAAACUUACCUUCGUUAACUUCGGCGUCUUUGUUCCCUUCUUUUAGACAUCUUUGGGCUUUUUUUUUCUCAAAUUUAUUUCUUUAUAUUUAUUCACUUUUUUUCUUAAUUUUUUAUUUUUUUGUAAAUUUGAAAAUUAAAAAAAUAUCAGUGAGGAUGACCACCCACAACGGCGGUGAACUAUAGCCAUGCGCCCGCAAUUAUUGAUGAACUUUAGACUUCGCUAGUGCGUUCCUUUCCCCGGGUGUAAAUAGCCGGGCGGAAUUAGUACCACUCGCCCUGGGCUUUAUUAUUUGUGUUACUGAAACUAAAAUAACUAAUUCGACUGAACUUCAUUUGAAUUAACGUUGAAAUACCGGGUUAUAAAUUUGAAUAUGUUCCAACACCAUUAGCUUUGGGAGGUGUCGGUAUAUAUAUUGACAAUACCCCAGUGGCGCCGUGGGACCCAUGUUUGGGAGCCAAGGGCACUACUUUUCCGACAAACCGGAAAAUAUUUUCCGACUGAAACGUCGCGAAAAUUUUUUUUACUGAAAUUUUUCUUGACGAACCCCCCCCGUCCCCAAAAAAAUUUCGGUCAGUGUGCCAUUUUAGGGGUCAAAAAUUUUUUCCGGACAUCCCAAAAUUUUUCGUUACAUCUUAAAAUUUUUCCGGACAACACCAAUUUUCUACAUUUAUCCGAAAGUACCAACGUUGGAAACUUUGACGAUUUCCGACAACGUUGACAAUU
Non-coding RNA from Paramuricea clavata, 874 nucleotides. NCBI's taxonomy places the organism in Eukaryota, Metazoa, Cnidaria, Anthozoa, Malacalcyonacea, Plexauridae. The record is from the annotation of a GenBank genome assembly.